UCAAUAAUUACCAGAAUUUCGGAACUCAGGUUCUGCAAUUAUGCAGAAGCAGAAAUGAUUCUAUUCCAGAAGACUGAGAUCUUAGACGUGCCGAACGUAGAAAAGGACAACACGAGUGAAAGGGAAAAAGGGACUGAGAGUUUGAAGUGUUUGUACCUACAUACAUCGCCUGAGCGAUAUAUGAUAUUGGAUCAUAUUAUACUACUCGACAGGGCCGGCGCAAGGCAGAUUCAGCGUGUUUAUCGAAACUCGGCGUUUUGAGAGGUUUCGCAGUCUACGAAAAUUACCCAAUUAAAAAACACCGAUUUUGAUUAACUUUUUACAGAAUGAUGAUAUCAUUAACAGAUGCAAGACAUUUUUUUUAGUAGCGAUGAUUCAGUUUAAAGGAGUGACGAAAGUCAUCAAAGUUCAGUGUAACUCAAUAAAAUCCUCAUAUCCUGGAAACUACUUUAGAUUUUGUACUUUCAUUGAAUCUUUUGCCCCUUGAAAGCGAAUUAUGAAUGCGAAAAAAAUUACUUGGAUUUGUUUUAAAAAACUGCUUACAAAGAUAGAGAUAAGACUCCCCAAUUUUUUGAAGUCUGUCGACGAGUCGCAGCUCCUACGAACUUGCAUAGGAACUGGGCAUAGCAACGCCUGACAUUUAUUAGUGGUUGUGUGUCAGUUGCCGUCUUGCGGUUCAUAUGUCUUAAACAAAAACGCAUGAGGCUAUAGCAUUGUUACGGUCUUUGAUGCUGAACGUUAGUCAAUCUCACGACGCAAGGACUGUGAUCAUUACGUUUUGGUAAAUUUAAGACGACGAAUGUUUUUCAAAAUUACAUUAUGGUAUAAACUAUGACAUAUACAUUUUCAAAACGUUUGAUUUCUGAACCGCUAUGGCUAGCAGAGAUAGAGAUCGUGGACAGAAAUACUUAAGCGGGACAGAAAAACUGAAACAGAAGAAGCAGCGGGACGAUUAUAUUAAACAGCAAACGAACAACAUUUUGAAGUAUGUAAUUGAAGCUACUAGUCAUUAAAGACAGCCAAACAAAGAUAAAAAACAUACGGCAAUGAAUUAGAUCCCUUUGGAAGAGGAAAACCAAGAGUUGAAUACACCUGCGAAGGAAAAUAAAGAAGACAUCAACGAAACUGAAUUGGACGAAAAUGGAAACAAUAGAAAAACGAGCGAUUGUGAAAUUCAUCAAGAAAAAGAUAUUGAAAAUGUGGAAAUUGAAGCACAAAAA
Bombus terrestris (buff-tailed bumblebee) is the source of this 1220-nucleotide long non-coding RNA. RefSeq lists it as uncharacterized. The record is from RefSeq and is a predicted model, not a curated record. NCBI's taxonomy places the organism in Eukaryota, Metazoa, Arthropoda, Insecta, Hymenoptera, Apidae. The transcript is spliced from 4 exons.